Transfer RNA from Lachancea mirantina, 96 nucleotides. It matches the Rfam family "tRNA". From Rfam's summary of the family: Transfer RNA (tRNA) molecules are approximately 80 nucleotides in length. Their secondary structure includes four short double-helical elements and three loops (D, anti-codon, and T loops). NCBI's taxonomy places the organism in Eukaryota, Fungi, Ascomycota, Saccharomycetes, Saccharomycetales, Saccharomycetaceae. The record is from Rfam.
GACAGUUUGGCCGAGUUGGUUAAGGCGAAAGACUCGAAUUCACUUGUAGAGAUCUUUUGGGUUCCGCCCGCGCAGGUUCGAAUCCUGCAGCUGUCG